RNAcentral lists this ribosomal RNA (975 nucleotides) under Microbacterium yannicii. RNAcentral describes it as "bacterial SSU rRNA". It matches the Rfam family "Bacterial small subunit ribosomal RNA", at positions 56 to 1044 of the family's 1533-position model. The record is from RNAcentral. Lineage: Bacteria; Bacillati; Actinomycetota; Actinomycetes; Micrococcales; Microbacteriaceae.
UGCAGUCGAACGGUGAAGCCCAGCUUGCUGGGUGGAUCAGUGGCGAACGGGUGAGUAACACGUGAGCAACCUGCCCCUGACUCUGGGAUAAGCGCUGGAAACGGCGUCUAAUACUGGAUACGAACCACAGUCGAAUGGCUCGUGGUUGGAAAGAUUUUUUGGUUGGGGAUGGGCUCGCGGCCUAUCAGCUUGUUGGUGAGGUAAUGGCUCACCAAGGCGUCGACGGGUAGCCGGCCUGAGAGGGUGACCGGCCACACUGGGACUGAGACACGGCCCAGACUCCUACGGGAGGCAGCAGUGGGGAAUAUUGCACAAUGGGCGCAAGCCUGAUGCAGCAACGCCGCGUGAGGGAUGACGGCCUUCGGGUUGUAAACCUCUUUUAGCAAGGAAGAAGCGAAAGUGACGGUACUUGCAGAAAAAGCGCCGGCUAACUACGUGCCAGCAGCCGCGGUAAUACGUAGGGCGCAAGCGUUAUCCGGAAUUAUUGGGCGUAAAGAGCUCGUAGGCGGUUUGUCGCGUCUGCUGUGAAAUCCCGAGGCUCAACCUCGGGCCUGCAGUGGGUACGGGCAGACUAGAGUGCGGUAGGGGAGAUUGGAAUUCCUGGUGUAGCGGUGGAAUGCGCAGAUAUCAGGAGGAACACCGAUGGCGAAGGCAGAUCUCUGGGCCGUAACUGACGCUGAGGAGCGAAAGGGUGGGGAGCAAACAGGCUUAGAUACCCUGGUAGUCCACCCCGUAAACGUUGGGAACUAGUUGUGGGGUCCUUUCCACGGAUUCCGUGACGCAGCUAACGCAUUAAGUUCCCCGCCUGGGGAGUACGGCCGCAAGGCUAAACUCAAAGGAAUUGACGGGGACCCGCACAAGCGGCGGAGCAUGCGGAUUAAUUCGAUGCAACGCGAAGAACCUUACCAAGGCUUGACAUACACGAGAACACCCUAGAAAUAGGGGACUCUUUGGACACUCGUGAACAGGUGGUGC